GUGAGGAAUAUUGCACAAUGGGCGCAAGCCUGAUGCAGCAACGCCGCGUGGAGGACGAAGGCCUUCGGGUUGUAAACUCCUUUUCUGGGGGACGAGCAAGGACGGUACCCCAGGAAUAAGUCUCGGCUAACUACGUGCCAGCAGCCGCGGUAAAACGUAGGAGGCGAGCGUUAUCCGGAUUUACUGGGCGUAAAGCGCACGCAGGUGGCUGCGCAAGUCGGACAUGAAAGCUCCUGGCUUAACUGGGAGAGGUGGUUCGAAACUGCGUAGCUUGAGGUUGGGAGAGGGACGUGGAAUUCCCGGUGUAGUGGUGGAAUGCGUAGAUAUCGGGAGGAACACCAGUGGCGCAAGCGGCGUCCUGGCCCACACCUGACGCUGAGGUGCGAAAGCGUGGGGAGCAAACAGGAUUAGAAACCCCUGUAGUCC
RNAcentral lists this ribosomal RNA (426 nucleotides) under uncultured bacterium. RNAcentral describes it as "bacterial SSU rRNA". It matches the Rfam family "Bacterial small subunit ribosomal RNA", at positions 354 to 796 of the family's 1533-position model. The record is from RNAcentral.